RNAcentral lists this long non-coding RNA (2633 nucleotides) under Sus scrofa (pig). Its description in RNAcentral is "lncRNA (ENSSSCG00040059132.1)". The record is from RNAcentral. Lineage: Eukaryota; Metazoa; Chordata; Mammalia; Artiodactyla; Suidae.
GGCUAAUCCCUGAAUCACUUCCUUUUUUCCCUGGCUUUUCAGCUUUUCCAACACCAUUGUCAGGGUUCCCCACAUUAAAUUCCCUCUUUGAAGAGCUGGCAAAGGCUCGGCUUGUCUGAUUGGCCCUUGACUGAUCCUUUGUUUGAAAGCCGGCUCCACGGUAUAUGAGAAAUAAAACUUUGGGCAAGCCACUUAGCUGGCAGAGCCUCUUUACUCACCCAGAAAAGAGGGAUUUUUGAAUUAGAGACUGGGUAUAGACCAUAACAGAGGGCUUGGCACAUAGUAGGUACGUCAGAAAUGAGUCAGAAGUGACUCAUUUUUUUUUAUGGCGAGUCAUUUAGGAAGAGAGUAAGAACUUCUCAAGAGAGGAACCUGGUCUUUUUCUUUUUUCUUUUCAUUUAAUUUAUUAAUGUUUAUUUUUAUUUUACGGAGCAUAGUUGAUUUACAAUGUGUUUCAGGUGUCCAGCAAAGUGAAACUGUUAUACCUAUACAUUAAUUGAUUCUUUUUCAGAUUCUUUUCCCAUGUAAGUUAUUAAUAACAUUGAAUACAGUUCCCUGUGCUGUACAGUGGUCCUUGCUGGUUACCUAUUUUAAAUAUAGUACAGUAUGUAUAUUAAUCCCAACCUCCCAAUUUAUCUCUUGCCCCCACAUUUCCCUUUGAUAACCAUACGUUUUAGAAAUCUCUUGUCUUAUUACUUGUCACCUCCUAGCAGGAUGCCACACAUUUAAUAAAGUAAGUAGACUUAAUAAAGCGUUUUUGUUUUUUUGCUUUUUAGAGCCAUACCCGUCGCAUAUGGAAGUGCCCAGGCUAGAGGUCAAAUCCAAGCUGCAGCUGCCAGCCUAUGCCGCAGCCAUAGCAAUGCCGGAUCCUUAAGCCGCUGAGCAAGGCCAGGGAUCGAACCCGCAUCCUCAUGGAUACUAGUUGGGUUUGUAACCCACUGAGCCACAAUGGGAACUCCUAAAGUUUUAUACACACGCACUUCUCAACGGCGUGGGUUAGAUGGAUUGAGGGACUCUGCCAACUUCACUGCAGUUACUCUAAGAUUCUUAAAGGAAGAUUCAAAAAGAGUUUCUUGGUGAAUUUUCUAGUGCAAAUAUGUCACUAUUUUCACUUUGGAAGCCCACUUUUAAAUGAUAAUUAUCAUAAAGUUCCUAAGUGGAAAAUACCACAGGAACCUUUGAAAGUACUUACUAGAGGAGCGAGCAGCAUCAGUUUUCUCUCUCUCUUUUUUUUGGGGGGUGGGGGGCGGUCUCUGUUUCCUCUGCUUCUCCAAAUUGGCUGUUCCAAGUUGAAUCCCUUGGCAGUUCUCAGCCAUCCUGGCUGCACCCCUGGGCACGCACAGACUGUUCCCUGCAUCAGGACUCUUGCACGAGUGGCCACAUGUUCCUCGCUGAGGGAUGAGGGAUCACAAGGUUUCAUUUGUCACACUCGCUAAGACUGCAGAACCUCUGGUGGGCUUGUCAAACAUGAGGAAAUCCCUACGUGUAAAUAUUUAUGGAUUAGGAAUCAAAUGCUAAAUAUUUACUUCAGCUUCUUGGAAUUAUAAAUGAUUUAACAAACCCAAUGGGGAGUCGGAAUGGCUUUGCUUUAGAACCAGCCCAUGUAUUUGUUUCCACUCCCUUAGGGUGUAGCAUGCGGGCGAUGCCCGCGGAAUACAUGGAGAGCCCAGCUUUUAAGUUGGGGUUUGAUUCCUUCUCCUCCUCUUCUUCUUCUUCUUUUUUUUUUGGCUUUUUUAGGGCCAGACCUACAGCAUAUGGAGGUUCCCAGGCUCGGGGUCCAGUUAGAGCUGUAGUUGCCUGCCUCAGCCAUAACCGUGGGGGAUCCGAGCCACAUCUGCGACCUCCGCCACAGCUCAUGGCAACACCGGAUCAUUAACCCACUGAGCUGGGCCAGGGAUCAAACCUGUGUCCUCAUGGAUACUAGGUGGGUUUGCUAACCGCUGAGCCAUGAUGGGAACUCCUGGUUCAUUCUUCUGAUUUUGCCUUCUGUGUUACAUGAUCUGUGUUUUGGAGGGGGCACACAUGCAGGACUGUGAGAGUGAAAACCCCAUCCUUCAAUGCCAUUGUCCUCAACCACACUGUGCAACACAACCAUCUGUAGUGUUUAUCAGAAAAGACAGAUGCCAUGGCCCUUCCUCUGGUCCAGUGAGUGGGCGUCUCUGCAGGUAGAGCCUGGGCAUACGUGUGCAUCAGAGCUUCCAUNGGCCAGACCUACAGCAUAUGGAGAGCUUCCACUCAACCUCGGGAGGUAUCUCUCUAGGGAGGCUGCCUGUGGGAGAAGCAGGGCAUCACAGAGGGCAGAAAGCCUUGGGAAUAAGAUGGGCCUGGAUCUGAAUCUCAUCUCUGCUGAUGAAUAGCUGCGUACCUUGGAAAAAAACCCCUUCCUCUCUCAACUUCAAUUUCCUUGUCUUUAUAACAGGGAUAAAAAUGACUCUCUGUAUUAGGUUCCUGAGGCUGCUUUAAAAAUUGCCCACAAACUUAGUGGCUUUAAAAAACAACAAAGGUGGUCCUUGGUGGCUCAGUGGGUUAAGGAUUUGGUGUUGUCACUAUUGUGACACAAGUUCAUUCCCCACCCUAGGAACUUCUACAUGCUGCGGGUGCAGCAAAAAAAAAAAAAAAAAAAAAAAAAAAAA